CUGACGGCACGGAGCUUUCCGGCUUCUAUCAGGUA
This 35-nucleotide non-coding RNA is filed under the name Mycobacterium tuberculosis. Lineage: Bacteria; Bacillati; Actinomycetota; Actinomycetes; Mycobacteriales; Mycobacteriaceae. The record is from RNAcentral.